This 240-nucleotide long non-coding RNA is filed under the name Carica papaya (papaya). Its description in RNAcentral is "long non-coding RNA (CPAP_LNC008432)". The record is from RNAcentral. Lineage: Eukaryota; Viridiplantae; Streptophyta; Magnoliopsida; Brassicales; Caricaceae.
AGUUCCACUCAUGAUGGACCCAAACUACAUUGAGAAGUACAAGUGACUAAACUGAUCUAUUUUUAUAUGAGCAUCCUCCUUCGAAGAAGCCGAGUAUUAAUUAGCAGAGAUAGAGAAGACAUUCGCAACUCUUAGAGUGAUUUUUGAAUAGAAGGUUCUACUUGCCACCUAUAUGCUUGUGGGUGAGGCAGGUCGCUGGUGGCAACUGAAUCACGCCACUCUGCCUAUUUCAAUCACUUG